AGUCGAACGCUUCUUUCCUCCCGAGUGCUUGCACUCAAUUGGAAAGAGGAGUGGCGGACGGGUGAGUAACACGUGGGUAACCUACCCAUCAGAGGGGGAUAACACUUGGAAACAGGUGCUAAUACCGCAUAACAGUUUAUGCCGCAUGGCAUAAGAGUGAAAGGCGCUUUCGGGUGUCGCUGAUGGAUGGACCCGCGGUGCAUUAGCUAGUUGGUGAGGUAACGGCUCACCAAGGCCACGAUGCAUAGCCGACCUGAGAGGGUGAUCGGCCACACUGGGACUGAGACACGGCCCAGACUCCUACGGGAGGCAGCAGUAGGGAAUCUUCGGCAAUGGACGGAAGUCUGACCGAGCAACGCCGCGUGAGUGAAGAAGGUUUUCGGAUCGUAAAACUCUGUUGUUAGAGAAGAACAAGGACGUUAGUAACUGAACGUCCCCUGACGGUAUCUAACCAGAAAGCCACGGCUAACUACGUGCCAGCAGCCGCGGUAAUACGUAGGUGGCAAGCGUUGUCCGGAUUUAUUGGGCGUAAAGCGAGCGCAGGCGGUUUCUUAAGUCUGAUGUGAAAGCCCCCGGCUCAACCGGGGAGGGUCAUUGGAAACUGGGAGACUUGAGUGCAGAAG
Molecule: ribosomal RNA, 623 nt
Filed under: Enterococcus faecalis
Lineage: Bacteria; Bacillati; Bacillota; Bacilli; Lactobacillales; Enterococcaceae
Description: bacterial SSU rRNA
Rfam family: Bacterial small subunit ribosomal RNA
Source: RNAcentral